GAUGAACGCUAGCGACAGGCUUAACACAUGCAAGUCGAGGGGCAGCGGGGGAGUAGCAAUACUCCCGCCGGCGACCGGCGCACGGGUGAGUAACACGUAUGAAACCUGCCCGUAGCAGGGGGAUAAGCGGAAGAAAUUCCGUCUAAUACCGCGUAACAACCCAUGGAGGCAUCUCCGUGGGUUUAAAGGAAGCGAUUCCGGCUACGGAUGGUCAUGCGUCGCAUUAGCUAGUUGGCGGGGUAACGGCCCACCAAGGCAUCGAUGGAUAGGGGUUCUGAGAGGAAGGUCCCCCACAUUGGAACUGAGACACGGUCCAA
RNAcentral lists this ribosomal RNA (317 nucleotides) under uncultured bacterium. RNAcentral's name for it is "bacterial SSU rRNA". It matches the Rfam family "Bacterial small subunit ribosomal RNA", at positions 28 to 334 of the family's 1533-position model. The record is from RNAcentral.